GAGGCUUGACAUCUGGAGAACUUUCCGGAAACGGAGAGGUGCCCGCAAGGGAGCUUCAAGAC
Molecule: ribosomal RNA, 62 nt
Filed under: uncultured organism
Description: partial 16S ribosomal RNA
Source: RNAcentral